AAAACGGAGAGUUUGAUCCUGGCUCAGGAUGAACGCUGGCGGCGUGCUUAACACAUGCAAGUCGAACGAACCUUCGGGUUAGUGGCGGACGGGUGAGUAACGCGUGAGAAUCUGCCCUCAGGAGGGGGAUAACAGUUGGAAACGACUGCUAAUACCCCAUAUGCCGACAGGUGAAAUGAAUUUCGCCUGGGGAUGAGCUCGCGUCUGAUUAGCUUGUUGGUGGGGUAACGGCCUACCAAGGCCUCGAUCAGUAGCUGGUCUGAGAGGACGAUCAGCCACACUGGGACUGAGACACGGCCCAGAC
RNAcentral lists this ribosomal RNA (304 nucleotides) under Synechococcus sp. SB0678_bin_12. RNAcentral's name for it is "partial 16S ribosomal RNA". It matches the Rfam family "Bacterial small subunit ribosomal RNA", at positions 1 to 336 of the family's 1533-position model. The record is from RNAcentral. Lineage: Bacteria; Bacillati; Cyanobacteriota; Cyanophyceae; Synechococcales; Synechococcaceae.